RNAcentral lists this transfer RNA (73 nucleotides) under Cyanobacteria bacterium CAN_BIN43. Its description in RNAcentral is "tRNA-Ala". It matches the Rfam family "tRNA". Rfam says of the family: Transfer RNA (tRNA) molecules are approximately 80 nucleotides in length. Their secondary structure includes four short double-helical elements and three loops (D, anti-codon, and T loops). The record is from RNAcentral. Lineage: Bacteria; Bacillati; Cyanobacteriota.
GGGGGGUUAGCGCAGUUGGUAGCGCGUUGCGAUCGCACCGCAAAGGCCACCGGUUCGAACCCGGUACUCUCCA